AACACAGAGAAAUAGAGAUUGGAGGAGGGAGACAGAAGGAGUGGACACAAAUGAAAGCAAUAAAAACUCUGAUCCUGCAAACAUGAAUCUGCAUGGCUACAAGGAGCUGCCUGUGCUGGUCUCUGUGUAGGGUCAGGAUCCCACUUCUGGUGAAUGGGAGGAAAGGGGAUCAUUUGCUGCAUGAAGCAGAAUAACUCUUCAAGAAAUUACUAGCACAUUGUAUGGUACUUCUGCAAUUGAUACUGAAUUUCACACUUGUGAUACCCAUUAUACAAUAACCAAAGACAAAAGCAAGGUGUUUAGGAUAGAUCUGUAGAGGCUGCAAUAUCUAAGCUUUACACAUUUUCUUAACAUUUUUCAUAGAAGAAACUUCUUUGUGAAGCACUGUGCAUCUUUAGGAGCCUAUAGAAAAACACAGAGUGAAUAAAAGGCACCCUUACACUUCCACAAAACAGUCUUUCAAGAACAGAGUUGGUUUCUCUAUCAAUGAAGCUUUUAAAAGAACUUAGGGUUUAUAAAGUGCCCUAAUGAAGAAAGCAGCACUGUCCACAGUACUCUGAUUUUCUGGCUCAGGGAACCAUGCCCUCUGGAAACCCUAAACACCUCCUGCCAAAAACCUAGAACAAAAAGAGAGGCUUCUGUGUGAAAUCAUUUUCUUCCCACACUCCAUACAUACCAAGAUACAGCCUUGCAACGAAGAAGUGAAAGCUUAAGUAUUUUGCUAAUUAGCAUAAACUACAUCAACCUGGCAGAAGACAGUAGAUGGACUUGAUGCCAGGAACUGGACUCAAUGAUCCUUAUGGGUCCCUUCCAACUUUGGAAUUCCAGUUGCUGUGGAAUUUCAGUCGUCAACGGUGUUCAAGGAAGGAUAGUCAGAUCUGAAGUCUGCUGAGCUUUGCUGGCUGUGAGCUACAUGCAAUGUAUGUGGCCCAUCAAACCAUAGGUGCCUGUGAUAGGAAAUGUACUCCUAGGUGAGUCUGCUUCUGAUCCUAGACUUAGCCCAGUUUUAUUAAUACCAGAUUUGGUGCAGAAUUCACUCACAGUCCUCAAUGUGAUGAGCUCUUCAAGAAAGCAGUGGAGAGGGA
RNAcentral lists this long non-coding RNA (1085 nucleotides) under Anas platyrhynchos platyrhynchos (common mallard). RNAcentral's name for it is "lncRNA (ENSAPLG00000025682.1)". The record is from RNAcentral. Lineage: Eukaryota; Metazoa; Chordata; Aves; Anseriformes; Anatidae.